Molecule: long non-coding RNA, 383 nt
Filed under: Ananas comosus (pineapple)
Lineage: Eukaryota; Viridiplantae; Streptophyta; Magnoliopsida; Poales; Bromeliaceae
Description: long non-coding RNA (ACOM_LNC044146)
Source: RNAcentral
AUCGAUGCCAAUGUAUGGUAUCCCGAUUGAGAAUGAAGAAGGUACGAUUAGAGUUUACGAUGAGAUUGAAUUAGUGAGAGGAGAUACUGUGACAGAGGCUGUGAGGUGUUGGAGUGCGCCGUGUUCUAAUAUUGAUCAAAGCGAAAAGGAUGCUGCAUGACGGUGUGGCGAAGAUUUGUAUGAACGAUUUUCCAUAGACCAUGGCGUGGUUAAGAAAAAAUAAAAGUGGUUGAAAAAUGACUAUAGUCUUCUUUGGAGGUACUACAGCGAUCUCUUAGCUGAGAAGGAACGUUAUGUUACUAAGCGGGGUGGUCUAAAAAAAUUAAUUGUUGAGUGUGGUGAUAUGCUUGAGCGCCCAAAUGCUGCUGCACUGGAUCAGAAUA